CCCAGGUCCUAGCCUAUUUAUCAACCCAGGUCCUAGCCUAUUUAUCAACCCAGGUCCUAGCCUAUUUAUCAACCCAGGUCCUAGCCUCUUUAUCAACCAGGUCCUAGUCUAUUUAUCAACCCAGGUCCUAGUCUAUUUAUCAACCCAGGUCCUAGCCUAUUUAUCAACCCAGGUCCUAGCCUAUUUAUCAACCCAGGUCGUAGCCUAUUUAUCAACCCAGGUCCUAGCCUAUUUAUCAUCCCAGGUCCUAGCCUAUUUAUCAACCCAGGUCCUAGCCUAUUUAUCAACCCAGGUCCUAGCCUAUUUAUCAACCCAGGUCCUAGCCUAUUUAUCAACCAGGUCCUAGUCUAUUUAUCAACCCAGGUCCUAGCCUAUCUAUCC
Molecule: long non-coding RNA, 381 nt
Filed under: Salmo salar (Atlantic salmon)
Lineage: Eukaryota; Metazoa; Chordata; Actinopteri; Salmoniformes; Salmonidae
Description: lncRNA (ENSSSAG00000117234.1)
Source: RNAcentral